Molecule: ribosomal RNA, 253 nt
Filed under: uncultured bacterium
Lineage: Bacteria
Description: partial 16S ribosomal RNA
Rfam family: Bacterial small subunit ribosomal RNA
Source: RNAcentral
GACAGAGGUCCCGAGCGUUAGGCGGAAUCACUGGGCUUAAAGCGUGUGUAGGCGGACGCCUAAGUACCUUGUGAAAUCCCACGGCUCAACCGUGGAACUGCUCGGUAUACUGGGUGUCUUGAGCCACUUAGGGGCGACCGGAACAGACGGUGGAGCGGUGAAAUGCGUAGAUAUCGUCUGGAACGCCGAAGGUGAAAACAGGUCGCUGGGAGUGCGCUGACGCUGAGACACGAAAGCCAGGGGAGCGAACGGG